CCUACGGGAGGCAGCAGUGGGGAAUAUUGCACAAUGGGGGAAACCCUGAUGCAGCGACGCCGCGUGAGUGAAGAAGUAUUUCGGUAUGUAAAGCUCUAUCAGCAGGGAAGAAAAUGACGGUACCUGACUAAGAAGCCCCGGCUAACUACGUGCCAGCAGCCGCGGUAAUACGUAGGGGGCAAGCGUUAUCCGGAUUUACUGGGUGUAAAGGGAGCGUAGACGGUGAUGCAAGUCAGAAGUGAAAGCCCGGGGCUAAACUCCGGGACUGCUUUUGAAACUGUGUGACUGGAGUGCGGAGAGGUAAGCGGAAUUCCUGGUGUAGCGGUGAAAUGCGUAGAUAUCAGGAGGAACACCAGUGGCGAAGGCGGCUUACUGGACUGUAACUGACGUUGAGGCUCGAAAGCGUGGGGAGCAAACAGGAUUAGAUACCCUAGUAGUC
Molecule: ribosomal RNA, 439 nt
Filed under: uncultured bacterium
Lineage: Bacteria
Description: partial 16S ribosomal RNA
Rfam family: Bacterial small subunit ribosomal RNA
Source: RNAcentral